AAAAGUCGUAACAAGGUUUCCGUAGGUGAACCUGCGGAAGGAUCAUUAUCGUAUGACGGAGGUGCCAGGGGCUGUCGCUAACUUUGUGACGCCCCGGUGCUCUCUCGAAAUCCAUCUCACCCCUUUGUGCAUCACCGCGUAGGCUCUCUCCCUCCUUUUGGCUCGUUCCAAGUGAGGGGGGUGGGGUUUGCGUUUUUACACAGACGCCGCAUGUGUAGAAUGUCAUACCUUUUGCGAUAACACGCAAUCAAUACAACUUUCAACAACGGAUCUCUUGGCUCUCGCAUCGAUGAAGAACGCAGCGAAAUGCGAUACGUAAUGUGAAUUGCAGAAUUCAGUGAAUCAUCGAAUCUUUGAACGCACCUUGCGCCCCUUGGAAUUCCGAGGGGCACACCCGUUUGAGUGUCGUGAACAUCCUUCAACCUUCUCGGUUUCUUGACCGGUGAAGGCUUGGACUUUGGAGGUUUUUUAUUGCUGGCCCCCUUCCUUGAAGCCCAGCUCCUCCCAAAUGGAUUAGUGGGGUCUGCUUUGCCGAUCCUUGACGUGAUAAGAUGUUUCUACGUCUUGGGUUUCGCGCUGUCGCUUUUGGACCCCGCUUCUAAACCGUCUUGCAUGCAAGACAGCGUUCGAGUUGCGGCUCGACACAUGUGAUCCUUGACCUCAAAUCGGGUGAGACUACCCGCUGAACUUAAGCAUAUCAAU
RNAcentral lists this ribosomal RNA (702 nucleotides) under Russula sp. CK-2012. RNAcentral's name for it is "eukaryotic LSU rRNA". The stretch from base 255 to 408 matches the Rfam family "5.8S ribosomal RNA". The record is from RNAcentral. Lineage: Eukaryota; Fungi; Basidiomycota; Agaricomycetes; Russulales; Russulaceae.